GUGCAGCAGUCGAGAAAACUUUACAAUGCGAGCAAUCGUGAUAAGGAAACCCUGAGUGCCUGUCAAUGCAGGCUGUUCUGGUGUCUAACACACACCAGGAGAAAGGGCGGGGCAAGACCGGUGCCAGCCGCCGCGGUAAUACCGGCUGCUCGAGUGAUAGCCACUUUUACUGGGCUUAAAGCGUUCGUAGCUUGGUCGUUAAGUCUCUGGGGAAAUCUUUUGGCUCAACCAAAAGGCGUCUCAGGGAAACUGGCGAUCUUGGAACCGGGAGAGGUAAGACGUACUUCGGGGGUAGGAGUGAAAUCUUGUAAUCCCCGAGGGACGACCGAUGGCGAAGGCAUCUUACCAGAACGGCUUCGACAGUGAGGGACGAAAGCUGGGGGAGCAAACCGGAUUAGAUACCCAUGUAGUCC
Molecule: ribosomal RNA, 413 nt
Filed under: uncultured Methanocalculus sp.
Lineage: Archaea; Methanobacteriati; Methanobacteriota; Methanomicrobia; Methanomicrobiales; Methanocalculaceae
Description: bacterial SSU rRNA
Rfam family: Archaeal small subunit ribosomal RNA
Source: RNAcentral